CCCUUAGAUGUUCUGGGCCGCACGCGCGCUACACUGUUCGACGCAGCGAGUCUUAACCUUGACCGAAAGGUUUGGGUAAUCUUCAGCAAAGUCGAACGUGAUGGGGAUCGAUCAUUGCAAUUAUUGAUCGUGAACGAGGAAUUCCUAGUAAGUGCAAGUCAUCAGCUUGCGCUGAUUACGUCCCUGCCCUUUGUACACACCGCCCGUCGCUACUACCGAUUGGAUGGUUUAGUGAGAUCCUCGGAUUGGUCCCGGCGCGGCCUCUGGUCGUGCCGGAGUGCCGAAAAGAAUGUCGAACUUGAUCAUCUAGAGGAAGUAAAAGUCGUAACA
This 330-nucleotide ribosomal RNA is filed under the name uncultured eukaryote. Its description in RNAcentral is "partial 18S ribosomal RNA". It matches the Rfam family "Eukaryotic small subunit ribosomal RNA", at positions 1470 to 1796 of the family's 1831-position model. The record is from RNAcentral.